AUGUCCCCGUCGACGCUGAUGGAUUUUCCUUCUAGAAUACAACGUCGACUAGUCGGUAAUCAGCGAGCUUGCCAGCGGACGAAGAAAAUCCACGCCAAGAUAAAACCAAGAACACAACGUAAGAGGCAUCCACUUGUCCUCCAUUCUACUGUCAAUAUUGGUACACUCCUAGCUGCUAAGAAAAAUAUCAUCAGCUGGAAAAGGGACCCCAUCCCCUGCAUGGUCUGUUUCUUAAUUUGGACUUUUGACAGUCAAAUAUGGCAGUGUGGUAACUCAAUUCAAUGGGAAUUACAGUGGGUAGAUGGUAAUUUAGAAAUCUUCGGGUCGAAGGAAACCAAUCAAGUCCUGUUUGUUUCUCCCCAAUUAUACUUCUAA
RNAcentral lists this ribosomal RNA (375 nucleotides) under Triticum aestivum (bread wheat). RNAcentral's name for it is "partial small subunit ribosomal RNA". The record is from RNAcentral. Lineage: Eukaryota; Viridiplantae; Streptophyta; Magnoliopsida; Poales; Poaceae.